UGUCUCAUAAUUUUACAAUUUAAUUCCCAUUUACGCUCUUCUUCUCCAAUAAUCACAAUCAGUGAAUUAUGUGUCUACAGUGAAACCCUGUCAACCUUACAGUUUUAAUAGAAACACAGAAGGUUUGGUCAGUGUCAUUGUGAACUCCGAAACAUGUAACUUAUGUGCUUCUUAUGUUGAAAUUAUAAUAUUAGUUUCUAUGCUCUUAUCAUCUUCAUCAUCAUACUGAUUAUAACCAUCUUAAGUCCUACUGUGUUUUGAUCUUUAAAGGUAAAAGGUAAAAGGUAAAAAAGUAUGAUGACUAAUGAUCGAUAAAAUUAAAUUUAUUGAGGAUGAAAAGCAGUGAAGAGGAAGAGAUGCCGAGGAACACAUACAGUGCGCUUUUCCACUUGGAUAUAACUUUUUAAUGGAUUUUCAAUGGGCAGACAAAGAAACAAAGUGAUAGGUCAUUGAGUCUUGUUCACAAUCUUUUGGAGAUGAAAGCAAAUUUUCAAAUGGCUCCUUAAUUUACACAAUAAAAUGAAGUUUAGUUUAAUUUCCAUGGAUAAGGACCAACAAAAGAUUUUUCAUCAGUCAAUUCAAUGAAAGCGAUAUACUUUGGUCUUGAACAUUUUCCACCUUUUAGAUGGCCAUUUCACAAGAUUUAUGAUUCAACCUUUUUCUUAUAUUGUUGGUGUAUUGACAAUCAACUAAUUGCUAAUUAACGCAAAUUUAAUUAACGUUUCCUAAUAGCCUCUUUAAGGUAUAAUAAUUUAAACAACAACCUGUUUUGAUUGUGAAAA
This is a long non-coding RNA of Tetranychus urticae (two-spotted spider mite), 782 nucleotides long. RefSeq lists it as uncharacterized. NCBI's taxonomy places the organism in Eukaryota, Metazoa, Arthropoda, Arachnida, Trombidiformes, Tetranychidae. The record is from RefSeq and is a predicted model, not a curated record.